UGGGGAAUAUUGGACAAUGGGGGAAACCCUGAUCCAGCGACGCCGCGUGUGUGAAGAAGGCCUGCGGGUUGUAAAGCACUUUUAGUGGGGACAAAAAGCUACGGAUUAAUACUCUGUGGUCUUGAUUUAACCCAAAGAAAAAGCACCGGCUAACUCUGUGCCAGCAGCCGCGGUAAUACAGAGGGUGCGAGCGUUAAUCGGAAUUACUGGGCGUAAAGCGCGCGUAGACGGUUUUGUAAGUCAGAUGUGAAAUCCCUGGGCUCAACCUGGGAACUGCAUUUGAGACUGCAUGGCUAGAGUAUCGAAGAGGGAAGUGGAAUUUCCGGUGUAGCGGUGAAAUGCGUAGAUAUCGGAAGGAACACCAGUGGCGAAAGCGACUUCCUGGUCGAAUACUGACGUUCAUGUGCGAAAGCGUGGGGAGCAAACAGG
Molecule: ribosomal RNA, 429 nt
Filed under: uncultured bacterium
Lineage: Bacteria
Also listed under: 1 other name
Description: bacterial SSU rRNA
Rfam family: Bacterial small subunit ribosomal RNA
Source: RNAcentral